Molecule: non-coding RNA, 749 nt
Organism: Aegilops tauschii subsp. strangulata
Lineage: Eukaryota; Viridiplantae; Streptophyta; Magnoliopsida; Poales; Poaceae
Source: RefSeq, a predicted model, not a curated record
GAUCCCUGUACCUGACCGCCGGUAUCCGGCAACCCAAGGACCUUCUCUUGACCAAAGUAACCGUGGAUGGAGAAGAUCACGAUGCUGAACACCGACGGCACCCUGCUGAAGAACUUCUCCAUGUUGAUCGGAUCCGGCGCCUGGAGCACUUCGGAGAGGAAGUUGAGUGUUUCUCUGCAUGUUUCGGCAGUGUCACCCCACCCCUUCUCCAAUCCCCACUCCUGAAACCUGCAACAGCCAGCAAACACAUCUUUGAUAAGUGUGCUCUUCUCCAGGCCUGCGACGAAGACCUCUGCAAGAAGCAAUGCUGUCUGAAGCUUGUCGGCGGUGUCGAUGGUGUCGCUGAUCAUCAGUUUCUGCAAGAAAGUGAGGAGAGGCCGAGCUCAUUCUACCGUCGACACUGACCAUGCCGAAUGGAACGAUCAAUCAACAUGCAUGCUUAGUUGUUGCUUACCUCGCCGCGGUAGUUCAGAUUUAGCAGGUAGUCCAGCAGCGGCUUCAUGCUCUCCGGCUUGCCGCUCAGCUUUGACGACAUGAACCGGGAGACGAACUGCAUCCCGUUGCCGAUGGACGACGGCAGCGUCAGAUGAGGCGUGGAGAGGUCCAGCGCGCUGAAAUCGACCUCCAGCGAGUUGUCGUCGCGCGCCCUGAAGAAACAACAACAGCAGCCAAUCAAGCCUGGGUUCAUCAGGUUUCUUUCUUGUAGUAUGUAUAGAUGAAUUGAUGAUGCAGUACCAUUUUUCGUCGUA